This 300-nucleotide ribosomal RNA is filed under the name uncultured Alphaproteobacteria bacterium. Its description in RNAcentral is "bacterial SSU rRNA". It matches the Rfam family "Bacterial small subunit ribosomal RNA", at positions 114 to 432 of the family's 1533-position model. Lineage: Bacteria; Pseudomonadati; Pseudomonadota; Alphaproteobacteria. The record is from RNAcentral.
CGCGUGGGGAUCUGCCCAGAGGUUCGGGACAACCAUUGGAAACGAUGGCUAAUACCGGAUAAGCCCGCAAGGGGAAAGAUUUAUCGCCUUUGGAUGAACCCGCGUAAGAUUAGCUAGUUGGUGAGGUAAUGGCUCACCAAGGCGACGAUCUUUAGCUGGUCUGAGAGGAUGAUCAGCCACAUUGGGACUGAGACACGGCCCAGACUCCUACGGGAGGCAGCAGUGGGGAAUAUUGCACAAUGGGGGAAACCCUGAUGCAGCCAUGCCGCGUGUGUGAAGAAGGCCUUCGGUUGUAAAGCA